This 391-nucleotide unclassified non-coding RNA is filed under the name soil metagenome. RNAcentral describes it as "partial contains 5.8S ribosomal RNA, internal transcribed spacer 2, and large subunit ribosomal RNA". The stretch from base 1 to 122 matches the Rfam family "5.8S ribosomal RNA", at positions 35 to 154 of the family's 154-position model. The record is from RNAcentral.
GAUGAAGAACGUAGCGAAAUGCGAUACUUGGUGUGAAUUGCAGAAUCCCAUGAACCAUCGAGUCUUUGAACGCAAGUUGCGCCCGAAGCCACUAGGCCGAGGGCACGCCUGCCUGGGCGUCACACGCCGUUGCCCCCCCAUCUACUCCUUCGGGAUUGCGGGGGGGCGGAUGAUGGCCUCCUGUGCGCCUAGCCGCGCGGUUGGCAUAAAUACCAAGUCCUCGGCGACGCACGCCACGACAAUCGGUGGUUGCGAAACCUCGGUUGCCCGUCGUGUGCGUUCGUCGCGCAUCGAGGGCUCGAAAAAAUGCUCGGCUCCGGCUGGGCUUUCAACGCGACCCCAGGUCAGGCGGGGUUACCCGCUGAAUUUAAGCAUAUCAAUAAGCGGAGGA